CCUACGGGUGGCAGCAGUGGGGAAUAUUGCACAAUGGGGGAAACCCUGAUGCAGCGACGCCGCGUGAGUGAAGAAGGACUUCGUUAUGUAAAGCCCUGUCAGCAGGGAAGAAAAUGACGGUACCUGGGUAAGAAGCCCCGGCUAACUACGUGCCAGCAGCCGCGGUAAUACGUAGGGGGCAAGCGUUAUCCGGAUUUACUGGGUGUAAAGGGAGCGUAGACGGCGGUGCAAGUCUGGUGUGAAAAGCUGGGGCCCAACCCCGGGAUUGCCCUGGAAACUGUAGUGCUGGAGUGCAGGAGAGGUAAGUGGAAUUCCUAGUGUAGCGGUGAAAUGCGUAGAUAUUAGGAGGAACACCAGUGGCGAAGGCGGCUUACUGGACUGUAACUGACGCUGAGGCUCGAAAGCGUGGGGAGCAAACAGGAUUAGAUACCCUAGUAGUC
Molecule: ribosomal RNA, 440 nt
Filed under: uncultured bacterium
Lineage: Bacteria
Description: partial 16S ribosomal RNA
Rfam family: Bacterial small subunit ribosomal RNA
Source: RNAcentral